Molecule: ribosomal RNA, 475 nt
Filed under: uncultured Proteus sp.
Lineage: Bacteria; Pseudomonadati; Pseudomonadota; Gammaproteobacteria; Enterobacterales; Morganellaceae
Description: bacterial SSU rRNA
Rfam family: Bacterial small subunit ribosomal RNA
Source: RNAcentral
AUUGAACGCUGGCGGCAGGCCUAACACAUGCAAGUCGAGCGGUAACAGGAGAAAGCUUGCUUUCUUGCUGACGAGCGGCGGACGGGUGAGUAAUGUAUGGGGAUCUGCCCGAUAGAGGGGGAUAACUACUGGAAACGGUAGCUAAUACCGCAUGACGUCUACGGACCAAAGCAGGGGCUCUUCGGACCUUGCGCUAUCGGAUGAACCCAUAUGGGAUUAGCUAGUAGGUGAGGUAAUGGCUCACCUAGGCGACGAUCUCUAGCUGGUCUGAGAGGAUGAUCAGCCACACUGGGACUGAGACACGGCCCAGACUCCUACGGGAGCAGCAGUGGGGAAUAUUGGACAAUGGGGGGAACCCUGAUCCAGCCAUGCCGCGUGUGUGAAGAAGGCCUUAAUGGUUGUAAAGCACUUUAAGCGAGGAGGAGGCUCUCUUAGGUUAAUAACCAAGAUGAGUGGACGUUACUCGCAGAAUAAG